AUACGUAGGGUGCAAGCGUUAAUCGGAAUUACUGGGCGUAAAGCGUGCGCAGGCGGUUUUGUAAGCCAGAGGUGAAAUUCCAGGGCUCAACCAGGGAACUUCCUUUGUGACCGAAAAGCUAGAGUACGGCAGAGGGGGGUGGAAUUACGCGUGGAGCAGUGGAAUGCGUAGAUAUGCGGAGGAACACCGAUGGCGAAGGCAAUCCCCUGGGCCUGUACUGACGCUCAUGCACGAAAGCGUGGGGAGCAAACAGGAUUAGAUACCCUGGUAGUCCACGCCCUAAACGAUGUCAACUGGUUGUUGGGUCUUCAUUGACUCAGUAACGAAGCUAACGCGUGAAGUUGACCGCCUGGGGAGUACGGCCGCAAGGUUGAAACUCAAAUGAAUUGACGGGG
Molecule: ribosomal RNA, 395 nt
Filed under: uncultured bacterium
Lineage: Bacteria
Description: partial 16S ribosomal RNA
Rfam family: Bacterial small subunit ribosomal RNA
Source: RNAcentral